This 500-nucleotide ribosomal RNA is filed under the name uncultured bacterium. Its description in RNAcentral is "partial 16S ribosomal RNA". It matches the Rfam family "Bacterial small subunit ribosomal RNA", at positions 30 to 523 of the family's 1533-position model. The record is from RNAcentral.
AUUGAACGCUGGCGGCAUGCCUUACACAUGCAAGUCGAACGGCAGCACGGGAGCAAUCCUGGUGGCGAGUGGCGAACGGGUGAGUAAAGUAUCGGAACGUGCCCAGUCGUGGGGGAUAACGUAGCGAAAGUUACGCUAAUACCGCAUACGAUCUAUGGAUGAAAGCGGGGGAUCGCAAGACCUCGCGCGAUUGGAGCGGCCGAUAUCAGAUUAGGUAGUUGGUGGGGUAAAGGCUCACCAAGCCGACGAUCUGUAGCUGGUCUGAGAGGACAACCAGCCACACUGGGACUGAGACACGGCCCAGACUCCUACGGGAGGCAGCAGUGGGGAAUUUUGGACAAUGGGCGAAAGCCCGAUCCAGCCAUGCCGCGUGCAGGAUGAAGGCCUUCGGGUUGUAAACUGCUUUUGUACGGAACGAAAAGGUUUGGCCUAAUAAGCUGAGCUCAUGACGGUACCGUAAGAAUAAGCACCGGCUAACUACGUGCCAGCCGCCGCAGUAA